GCGAAUAUAGAUGAAUAGGUUACAUCAUUAAUCUUCCAAAUUAAAGUUUGUGGGUUCGAAUCCCACUAUUCGUUGA
This 76-nucleotide transfer RNA is filed under the name Balbiania investiens. RNAcentral describes it as "tRNA-Gly". It matches the Rfam family "tRNA". Rfam says of the family: Transfer RNA (tRNA) molecules are approximately 80 nucleotides in length. Their secondary structure includes four short double-helical elements and three loops (D, anti-codon, and T loops). The record is from RNAcentral. Lineage: Eukaryota; Rhodophyta; Florideophyceae; Balbianiales; Balbianiaceae.